CCUACGGGUGGCUGCAGUGGGGAAUAUUGCACAAUGGGGGAAACCCUGAUGCAGCGACGCCGCGUGAGUGAAGAAGUAUUUCGGUAUGUAACGCUCUAUCAGCAGGGAAGAAAAUGACGGUACCUGACUCCGACGCCCCGGCUAACUACGUGCCAGCCGCCGCGGUAAUACGUAGGGGGCAAGCGUUAUCCGGAUUUACUGGGUGUCAAGGGAGCGUAGACGGCGGAACAAGUCAGAAGUGAAACCCCGGGGCUCAACCCUGGGAGUUCUUUUGAAACUGUUUGGCUGGAGUGCAGGAGAGGUAAGCGGAAUUCCUAGUGUAGCGGGGAAAUGCGUAGAUAUUAGGAGGAACACCAGUGGCGAAGGCGGCUUACUGGACUGUAACUGACGUUGAGGCUCGAAAGCGUGGGGAGCAAACAGGAUUAGAUACCCGAGUAGUC
This 440-nucleotide ribosomal RNA is filed under the name uncultured bacterium. RNAcentral describes it as "partial 16S ribosomal RNA". It matches the Rfam family "Bacterial small subunit ribosomal RNA", at positions 338 to 795 of the family's 1533-position model. The record is from RNAcentral.